Molecule: long non-coding RNA, 1152 nt
Organism: Esox lucius (northern pike)
Lineage: Eukaryota; Metazoa; Chordata; Actinopteri; Esociformes; Esocidae
Source: Ensembl
UAACGAUCCUACGUAACUCCAACGUUAUCUGAAGGAAAUUAAUGACCACAUAAUUGGUAAUCUUUCUUACCUGCUCAGGAUGUAGCAGAGACGUAAUUACAGAACGUACUGACAAUGUAACAACGUUCGUACCAGUUUGGUAACGAUCCUACGUAACUAAAACCGGGAAAUAUUAACUCCUAUUUUUGUUGCUACAACGUACUUUACUUACAAUGUCAUUACUGCCACCACAUUGGAAACCACGUAUUCCAAAUAUUUAAAAGUUCACCUGAAGAUCUUUAGAGUCACAAGAAUUCCCCAAUCAACGCAAUUCAAAUAGUUCUAUAUAAUCUCCCACAACACAGACGGAAUGCGUACACAAAUUAUAAACCGAUGUGCCACAGUUCGCGUGUCCCACCAUUUUUUGUUUGUUAUAGUUUGUACUCCUAAAUAGUCGUCAGAGUUUACAGUAUCUCAGCAGACAUAACCGGUGGCUAUAGCACGUUCAUUUUACUCCAAUUUAAGAUAAUUUAGAUUUAUGUUCUGAUUUAGUCAUGACUGUAAGUUUUCACCACUACUCGUCAGCUACUGUGGUUAGCUUACAUUAGUAUUUAUUGCUAUUUAGAAAUGUUAUAAUCAUUAAUGUUAAUCAUACUUUCGUUUAGUACUGUAAUAUACGUAGCUAACUACUACAGGUAGCGCACGUUUUCUUUUAAGGCAGACCUGGGCAAGAUAAGGCCCCCGGGCCGGAUCCGGCCCGUUGGUUAAAAAAGUAAUCUGGCCCACGAUGCUCCCUGGCAUUUUCAGUGUGGCCUCCCAGUGAAAUAUAUUGCCCACCCCUGUUUUAAGGUAUACAUGGCUAACUAGCUACUGCAGCUAGCAAACGGUACUGUACGACUACGUUUAACAAACAUCAGUUUAGUUUGUUAAGCCGACAACAUUUCUGGAGCACUGUCAUUAUUUCGGGAAAAGGAAUCUCAGGUGCCACAACGGGUCCAACGGCAGAGGAAGGUGAAGUUAGAAUUGAAGACCUCUCAGACUCAUUUCUGACAACAAGGAAGAGUAAAGUGUCCGUCUUUGCUUGUGUGAUUGUAUUUUGUCAGUUGGUUAAUAUUAAAUGUGUAUAUUUUUUGAAGGCGUGAACCAUAUUUAAUAUAAUUAAAUUGUAUGAUG